GGUAAUGCCGGAUGCUCCAGUUGAUCGCAUGGUCUUCUGGGAAAGCUUUCGCGGUAUGGGAUGGGGUCGCGUCCUAUCAGCUUGACGGCGGGGUAACGGCCCACCGUGGCUUCGACGGGUAGCCGGCCUGAGAGGGCGACCGGCCACAUUGGGACUGAGAUACGGCCCAGACUCCUACGGGAGGCAGCAGUGGGGAAUAUUGCACAAUGGGCGCAAGCCUGAUGCAGCGACGCCGCGUGAGGGAUGGAGGCCUUCGGGUUGUAAACCUCUUUUAUCGGGGAGCAAGCGAGAGUGAGUUUACCCGUUGAAUAAGCACCGGCUAACUACGUGCCAGCAGCCGCGGUAAUACGUAGGGUGCAAGCGUUAUCCGGAAUUAUUGGGCGUAAAGGGCUCGUAGGCGGUUCGUCGCGUCCGGUGUGAAAGUCCAUCGCUUAACGGUGGAUCCGCGCCGGGUACGGGCGGGCUUGAGUGCGGUAGGGGAGACUGGAAUUCCCGGUGUAACGGUGGAAUGUGUAGAUAUCGGGAAGAACACC
RNAcentral lists this ribosomal RNA (533 nucleotides) under Bifidobacterium longum. RNAcentral's name for it is "bacterial SSU rRNA". It matches the Rfam family "Bacterial small subunit ribosomal RNA", at positions 162 to 710 of the family's 1533-position model. The record is from RNAcentral. Lineage: Bacteria; Bacillati; Actinomycetota; Actinomycetes; Bifidobacteriales; Bifidobacteriaceae.